CCUAGGANGGGUGGAUUGAUACUGUGGGGCUAGAGUACAGAUGAGGUAGGCGGAAUUGACGGUGUAGCGGUGAAGUGCUUAGAUAUCGUCAAGGACACCUAUAGCGAAGGCAGCUUACUAGGCUGUAACUGACGCUGAGGCACGAAAGUGUGGGGAUCAAACAGGGAUUAGAUACCCUGGUAGUCCACACUGUAAACGUUGAUUACUCGCUGUGUGCGAUAUACAGUACGCGGCCAAGCGAAAGCGCUAAGUAAUCCACCUGGGGAGUACGCCGGCAACGGUGAAACUCAAAGGAAUUGACGGGGGUCCGCCCNAGCGGUGGANCAUGUGGUUUAAUUCGAUGAUACGCGAGGGAACCUUACCUGGGGCUAGAAUGCCCAUGACCGGGUCCAGAUAUGGACUCUUCCGCAAGGACANGGAGCAAGGNUGCUGCAUGGCUGUCGGUCAGCUCGUGCCNUNGAGGNGUUGGGUUAAGU
RNAcentral lists this ribosomal RNA (476 nucleotides) under uncultured Cytophaga sp. RNAcentral's name for it is "bacterial SSU rRNA". It matches the Rfam family "Bacterial small subunit ribosomal RNA", at positions 612 to 1085 of the family's 1533-position model. Lineage: Bacteria; Pseudomonadati; Bacteroidota; Cytophagia; Cytophagales; Cytophagaceae. The record is from RNAcentral.